This 1372-nucleotide ribosomal RNA is filed under the name metagenome. Its description in RNAcentral is "bacterial SSU rRNA". It matches the Rfam family "Bacterial small subunit ribosomal RNA". The record is from RNAcentral.
AGGGUUGCAGGGUAGCGGCGAACGGGUGAGUAAUAAGUACAGACAUGCCCCUUUGUAGGACAUAGUCCGCCGAAAGGCGGGGUAAUUUCCUAUAGUAUCUUCGGAUUAAAGACGCAAGUCACGUAGGGAGUGGUGUACUUGCUACCAGCUUGUUGGUGAGGUAAUGGCUCACCAAGGCUAUGACGGCUACCGGCUCUUAGCGGAGAGUUCGGCACAAUGGGACUGAGACACGGCCCAUACUUCUACGGAAGGCAGCAGUUAGGAAUUUUGCGCAAUGGACGAAAGUCUGACGCAGCGACAUCGCGUGUGGGAUGACGGCCCUCGGGUUGUAAACCACUUUUUGGGAGUCAUGAAGGCGCCCAGAAUAAGGAACUACUAACUACGUGCCAGCAGUCGCGGUAAUACGUAGGUUCCAAGCGUUGCCCGGUUUUAUUGGGCGUAAAGCGUCUGUAGGUGGUUUUUUAAGUCUUGUUUCAAAGACCCCGACUUAAUCGGGGAAAGGGGCAGGAUACUGGAAAACUAGAGUUAUAUCGGGGUUACUGGAAUUUGUGGUGUAGGGGUAAAAUCCGUGGAUACCACAAAGAACACCAAGCGCGAAGGCGGGUAACCAGGUAUACACUGACACUCAGAGACGAAAGCUAGGGUAAUCAAUCAGAUUAGAGACCUGAGUAGUCCUAGCCGUAAACAUUGUCUGCUAAUUUUUCCCUAUUUUAGGGGGAGAUGUUAGCUAACGCGUUAAACAGACCGCCUGGGGAGUAUAGCCGCAAGGCCGAAACUCAAACGAAUUGGCGGGGAGGCGCACAACCAGUGGAGCAUGUGGUUCAAUUCGAUACGAAGCGAUAAACCUUACCUGGGUUUGAAAUGUAUCUGCAAGCUUUAUGAAAGUAGAGCUGCCUUCGAGGGUGAUACACAGCUGUUGCAUGGCUGUCGUCAGCUCGUGACGUGAGUUGUUCUCUUAAGUGAGGUAACGAGCGCAACCCCUAUUCCGUGUUACUGUGUCACGGAAGACUGCCCAGCAUUAUUUUGUUGGGAGGAAGGAGGGGACGAUGUCAAGUCAUCAUGAUGCUUAUAUCCAGGGCUACACACAUCCUACAAUGGGUUGUACAGAGGGUUGCAAGACCGCAAGGUGGAGCUAAUCCCUAAAACAUCCCUCAGUUGGGAUUGCAGGCUGCAAUUUGCCUGCAUGAACCCGGAAUUGGUAGUAAUCGCAAAUCAGAAGAUUGCGGUGAAUACGUUCUCGCCUCUUGCACACACUGCCCGUCAAAUCAGCAAAGUUGAGGGUACCCAAAGGCUCUGAUUCGUCAGGGACUAAGGUAAAUUCAGCGAUGAGGGUUAAGUCGUAACAAGGUAUCCGUACUGGAAGGUGCGGAUG